Molecule: unclassified non-coding RNA, 1190 nt
Filed under: Amphibalanus amphitrite
Lineage: Eukaryota; Metazoa; Arthropoda; Thecostraca; Balanomorpha; Balanidae
Description: persulfide dioxygenase ETHE1 homolog, mitochondrial- like, transcript variant X1
Source: RNAcentral
UUUCUGGAGAAUCAAAUAACAGAGAAUCAGCUGAUUUCAAUGCCAAACAAACAAACAAAUGCCACGGAGUGUGGGCGGCAGUUUUCUCCGCGGCCUAAUCGGUGUGGUUGCGGCUGGGUAGUUUUGAAGACUUUGUUAUUAAAUUCCAGUAUUUCUAAGAAGCCAUAGCCGUCGCUCGACCGCCGGACAUUCGUCGUGCAGGAUUCGUUGCAAGUUGCAGUUGUAGACGCCAGUUGCAUAAGCCGCCUUCUCCGCCGAAGGGAUACACCGUCGCGUGUACCGCGGCUGUAAAUCGAUUCAGGGAAUAUCGACAUACUACCGGAUACAUCGUACAUCAUGACGCAGCAGUUCUUCUUCCGUCAGUUAUUUGACCGUGAGAGUUGCACCUACACCUACCUACUGGCCGACCCGUGCUCCAAAGAGGCCGUUCUCAUCGAUCCAGUAAUCGAACUCUCCGAUCGAGAUGCCACUCUUGUCAAAGAUCUCGGUCUGAAACUCGUCUAUGUCAUCAACACUCACAUGCACGCCGACCACAUAACCGGCACUGGCCGUCUGAAGCGACUCGUCCCCGGCUGUCGGUCGGUCAUCUCGGCCACAUCGGGUGCCGAGGCCGACAUUAAACUGGCUGACGGUGAUAAGGUCAAGUUUGGAGCGCUCGAACUGGAGGUGCGAGCUACACCCGGACACACGGAAGGCUGUGUCACAUACGUGCUCCACUCCCAGAGGAUGUGUUUCACCGGAGACGCUCUUCUUAUCCGCGGCUGUGGUAGAACUGACUUCCAGGGCGGCUCCAGUGACACCCUGUAUGACUCGGUCCACGGCCGGAUCUUCUCACUGCCAGAAGACUACACCGUCUAUCCGGCUCACGAUUAUAAAGGUCAAACAGCCACCACCGUCGGCGAAGAGAAGCGCUACAACCCGCGUCUGACACGCAACAAACAGGAAUUUAACGCUAUUAUGGCUGGUCUGAACCUCGCCUACCCGAAGAAGAUAGAUGUGGCGCUCCCCGCGAACAAAGUGUGCGGGCUACAUAACAUUCCCGAGGAGGUGGCCGCCAUGCUGGGGGAUGCGAAGUAGACCAGCGUCCUCACCUAAGCUCCGCCACGGCGCCUGUUCGUCAUCCUCUGCACCAACAUCUCCCGCCGGUUCUUCUCUGCCCUCCUCUUCCUCCGCGCCUGCCACCCGCGCCG